CGCGCCGCUGGGCUGCGGCCGGCUCCGGUCCCGCCGGGCCCUCCACCCCCCACCCUCCCCCUCGCUCCCGCUCCCGCCUCCUGCCCGGGGCCGCUGCACCGCGGAAGUGCCGCUGUCGCCCAAGCGAGGAGCUGCUCCUCGGCCAGGAGUUGUGUUGGGUUAGAAGAGAGGGGUGUCCCGUACCCGGAACCCUUCGUCCCAUUCUUUUGGAAGGAUUAACCCCGGCUUCCCAGGUCCCGGGCUACUCUGGGCUUUGUUGCUCUGUAAGAGUUCGCCAGAGGCACUUUUCCGGGAGUGGAGCCGUGUCCCGGGUGGCAGACUAACCUAGCUCUAGGAAACCUCUUCGGGGGCACUUGAGCGGUUCCCCCAGUGAUGUGGCCCACGGGGAGGAGCUGGGUUCCAGGAGGGAGGGCGGAGAACAGCCCCCGGCUCCAGGAGCGUCGGGGAGGAAGGGCAGGAAUGCGCGCGCUGGGUCGGGGGGCGCAGCCGGAGGCGAGGGUCCCGUGGCGCCUGGCGGCCUCGGCGUGCAGUGAAGCCCUAUCAUUAUUGCAUUAUUACUUGUUUAGUUAAAGCGCCGUCCCAGCGGCUCGGGGUGUAAACUGGGGUUGGCGAGGUGACAGCCCGGCGCGGCGGGCGCUCCCGCUCGGUCCUUGAUAGUUCCAGGCACGCGGGAGCCCCGAGUACGGUCCAGAUGUGGGGGCUUCGCGCCCGCGGUGGGAGGACUGCCCGAGGCCGCGGCCGAGCGGCUCUGCACUGUCAGCAGCCGCUUUGUUUUGACAGGGUGACAGCUGAGGGGGGCGGGGACUUGGCCUCGUCCGCUCCUGCGGCCUGUGGCAGAGGCGGGGAAGACACACACACACACAGACAGACACACUCACACUCACUCUAACACACCUUCCGAUUGUGGCUUCUGCCUGCAGCGAACAGAGUGCAUCCCAGAUCCCGAUUGCGGUCGCUGUGGCGCUUCCGAGCUGUGCUGGAGCUGUUGUGACCCUUUAGGACAGCUCUCCCAAGGACGCGGGUUUUAGCAGUUCAGGAGCUCUCGAUGGCAGUGGAAAGUCUGUGCCUUGCCCCUUUCCCCACCAUUGCCUCGUGUUUAUGUUGAGCACCUGCUGUGUUCAAAAAAUAAGUUGUUGAAUGCUUGUAGUGCCGAGACCAAUGCUUCUCCAAGCAUGUGUCGCAGUCACCCACGGAGUUGCCUGAAAUGCUGAUUCUGCAUCAGCAGGUGUGGGGCGAGGUGGGGAGUCUGCUUUUCUCAUAAAUUCCCAGGCAGUGCUGGGCAGCUUCACACACCUCCAUCCUACUUAGCAAGACCUGAGUUACCUGGACAGUAAGUGACAGAGCCCUCUCUGAAUUCAGCAGAAAAGCUGGGAAUUACGAAAUAAGAAAGCCUCACGAUGGAUGUUUCCGCAGAAAAAAUGCAAAGAAAGACGAAGGAAGAGUGCUGCUAGAAGUCGAAGGCCAGGAGUUGAUUUCGGAGGGUGUAGACUACAAAGAGGAUCUUGGCGGUCCUAGGCAAAAGGGGGAGUAGUGCGGUUCAGGAGCAAGUUUGGUGUCUGGUGGGAUUGGCAUUUUGCAGCCACUGGGGGCGUGUGUAGGAACCGCAGCGGCGCAGUGUGUUUGACCUAGCUGUAGUUUUUAAUUUAUGGGGCCCCCAUAGCAUCUUUUCUGCCUGUUGCCUUAAUUUCUGAACGCUCUCUUGAAGUUACGGUUCAUCUAUGAUUGUGAGAUUUUGUUUAAACCUGGCCUUGCACUGAUGUGUUUGAUCCUUUAAAAUGACCUUGAGUAGCUGAGUGGGGUGGCACAUACCUGUGGUCCAGAUUGGGGGGGGUGUCAUAAGUUCAAGCUCAGUUUUGGUAACUUAGCAAAAAAUAAACAAGGGCUGGAGGACUGGGAAUGUAGGUCGGAGCAAUUUUGGUGCCACAUGCUGGAGAAUCGCUGAAUGAGAUGUAGCAUUUUCUGAAGUUUUUGUUUUGUUUCCUGUUCACAUAUUCAACCAAACUGAUAGGAAAAGAAAACCCUUCUCAUUAAAGGUUUUUCUUCAUGCUACUAGGAGACUGACAGCGUCCUUUUUUAUCCCAUUACCGUUUCAGAGAAUCCCAGCUGGGUGCCAGGCAUUGUGCCAGGACCUCUGUCCUGUUGGACCUGUGUCACUGAAUGUGUGUGUGUGUGUGUGUGUGUGUGUGUGUGUGUGUGUGUGUUUGCCCAUAUGCAGGCAUACUGUGAGGUCCAUGGGAAGAAGGAAGCGAAACAGUUACAGUGAAAUUCAGAAGAACUUUCUUGGCAUCUUGGCAUGCUGUGGGACCCCACGCAAAAGCAGCGCCUGGGUGGAGUGGGAAGGACUUCCUGGAGGAAGUGUCACGGCUGCUAAGGACUCAGCAGCGUCGAGUGGGUGGGGUGAAGCUUCUGCGCCCGCCCGAAGAAACUGAAAGGAGGCCGAGGCCAACCCGAGGCGGCCAUCUGCCCUGGGGCCCUGGGGUGGGGGAAGGGUGUGUGCCACCCCGGGGGCCCUGGAGAGUUCGGGAAUCGUAGCCCCCCCCCACCCAGUGAUACUAUCUUAGAAUUUUUGUUUUUCAACUGGACUCGAUUGGUUCUGACAGCGCUGAGAGGACAGAACCUGCGGGGCCUUCUCAGUCUGUUUCUGCACUCUGUGCUUUCAAUUUAUGCAAUUCAGGCUGGCCUUGAACUCCCAAGCAAUCUUCCUGCUUCAGCCUCCCCAGUGGUGUUCCAUUUUAAAAUCAACUCCCAGCUCAUGAGGAAGAGAGCACAGUGGUAGAGCUCUUACUUUGCUAAGCCUGCACAAGGACUGGUAAAGUAUUCUAUUUCCAGCACAAGAUCAACAAAAACACCAACCAGUCAACCAAACACUUAAAUAAAUUACUCAAAACGAAUUCCCAGCGUUUUCUGCAGAUUUCAGAUUCCUUGUCUGCCCUUUACCUUUCUGUCCAUCUUUCCAUUAGAAACCACCCAAGCUUUUUUAUGCUUCAUGACUGAUGCUUUUGAUUGUGAUCUGCAGUGAAGGGUGAUUAUUUGAUAUGUGUUUAGAAUCUGGGUAGAUUAUAUGUGAUGUGGUUAUUGACUAAGUGAAUGAGCCGGGGAAGAGAAAGUGGAGGAAAUGAUCAGCUGUUAGGAGAGCAGCUGUGGAAUCCUAGCUUGCCUUUUACUUGGCAGCUGGACGAAGGUUUUUUAAGAUGGGUCUGACUGUGUUGUCCAGGCUGUGGUCCUUCUGCCUCCUGAGCACUGGGACUAGGGCACAUGCUGACAUGGGGGAAAGAAAUUCCUAGCCUACUAGAUGUCCUGUAUGAGGAACAGUGGAGGUUAGGAGCAGAAAUAUUUACUGAGAGAAAGAAAGCUUUCUGUCUGGGCGAGAGAAGGCAUUGUUAGGGAUCAGUGACUUUCUGUAGGGUUGGGAUGGUGACUCCUGGCUUCUCAAGGUGAUUCAUACCUAUUUAGAAUAUCAGUUCCUGAUGGUUUAUGCAUUUGUUUUGCCUUCUGUCUUGAGAUCUGGCCCGCAGCAAGAGGUGUGUGUCUCCUCCAAGGUCACCAGACAUUUGGUCCUCUGCUGGCUUCCUUGACUACCUGUAACAUUUCUAACUAGCUCAGCUGCCUGUAGCAAUACCACCAUGUCUGGCUGAAGGAGAUUUUUCACACAGUAUCACUAGGUAUCCUGGGGGUGAUGGGACCUUUAUCUGGCUCCCUUUUCUCUGUCAUCUACCCCUUCUAGUACUGGGGUUUAAACUGUUUCUUUGUACUGAACUACAUUCCCGCCCCAUUUAUGUACGUGCGUGUGUAUGUGUUUGAGACAAGGUCUUGCUAAAUUUCUCUGUGUUUUUCUUUUUUCUUUCCAGACUGGCCUUGUAGUCUAAAAUUUUCUUGAAUUUAUGGCAGUCUUCCUGCCUCAGCCUCCCAAAGUAUAGAGCCUAACUGUUUUUUAGUGUUAUAAUAGAAAACUCAAAUGAUUGGAUGACUAGCUCAAAUCUGAAUUUUCUUAUAACUUAUCUACUAAUUUAAAAAGCAGAAUCCAUUGACUGACUUGACAGGAAUAGGUAACUGUAUGCCUGUCAUCCUAGGAUGGUGGGAGGCUGAGACAGGAGAAUUGCAAGUUCAAGCCCAGCCAGGACAGUUUAGUAUAUUUCCCUAGAAAUAACACCUAAUUGGAAAAUAAUGAUAUAGAGGAAUGAAACUCCUGACCUACUAUGUCCAUGAGUUCGUGUCCUCUAAAAUCAAACAGUGAAUUUUAGAAACAAUAGAGAUUAAGAGUAGAAUAUAUUGAAAGAAGGAAAGCUUCUGAGAGAAAGAAGGGGUCCCAAGUGGGUUGCCAAGGACUCUGUCUUUUCUAGGAACUUUUUUUAGUUUUUUUUUUUUUUUUUAAUCGGUACUGGGGAUUGAAUUUACAACUGCCUGCUUGCAAGGCAGGUACUUAUGCCGCUGAGCUAAAUCCCCAGCUCCAUUUUCUAGGGACUUUUAUAGAGCAAAAUCAUGGGAACUCACAAGGCAAAUGGGCAUAGGUGGAACAUAACUAUGUAACUAUUAAAUUGGGGACAAAUGAAAGUGGGAUUCUUAGAGCUGUGACUUUCCCCAGGGAGUUGGGAUGGUGACUCCAGGCGUCCUCAGGGUGAUAGGGAACUCUUCAGAAUUUCAGUCCUCAAGAUGUGGGUGCAUUUGUUUGGUCUUUUGUCUUCAGGCCUGGCCCACAGCAGGAGGUGUCUGUCUCUCCUGCAGUUGCCAGGCAUCUGGGCUUCUGCACUGGCUCCUUUGAGGACCUAGCCCUGUUUCACUGCCUGUAAUAUUUCUAACUAACUCAGCUGCCUGCAACAAUAAGACCUAACAUGAUUUUUCAGGGUGCUCAUACUAUAAACCGUACCCUCAAAGUAAGCCUCAGUUAAAAUUGUCAGCCAGACACACACAUUUAAUGUAUCUGAUGCAACGUACAAUGGACUUACUAAAUUAUGAAAUAAUAAUGUUCAUAUGGUUAAAUGCAGAUGAAUAUUAUUAGCAUUAAUAGUUACAUGAUAAUACAGAUUAUACUUAGGUAUUCAUAAAUAGCCAAGCAGGUGCCUUUGGACUAGAGAUAAACACCUGUGAACCUUGAGACCCGUCGCUGAAUGACCAGAGUACAGGCACAGCACACAGACAAUGAGUGCACUUGGUAACCAAUGGACAUAGCUGUGUCUGAUAGGGAUUUUCAUAAUUUGGUGUAUCGUGUGUUGUCAUGGAUGUCUCUAAUGCACUUGUGUCAGAUACCUUCUGAAUUUUGGUGCCUGCAGUUUUUUGUUCUUAAGGGUCAUCAUUAUUUGUGGCCACUCCUGUCUCAUUAAGUCUUUGAUGAACGUUUAAUUUAACAGAAACUUUGUGAAAUGUAGCUUGCAAGAAGUCAUGACUGGGGUGAAGAACUCAUUGGAUAAAAUCACUGACCGCUGUGCUGCUAGUGCACUGUAAGUAGGCUAUAAGGAAUGCUCAUUUAAGGACCGCUUUCCUGCUGGGUGUGAGAGUUGGGGGCCAGUGGUUCUACAGGAAACGGGAGUCAAGAAGGUCAGGCUGGAAUUCAGAGUUUGGAGAGCUGUGAUGAUGUUCCAGGAGAUGAUGGGACUAUUUGACUAUAUGUAGUUUUUUUAUAUACGAAUAAGUAUAGAUUGUUGUACGUGAACUAAGAUAUCACUUCUCUGAAAAUAAACCCUAGUGCAUCUUUUGGACAAAAAUGAACAUAAGACCCUUAUUUUUAGAGAAAUACAGUGUGGAACUCAGUCUUGAAUUCCAUCUUGGCCAUUUGUGUAGUCUUGGGUACAAGUCACUUAGUUUUUCUGUGACCCUUAAUUCCUUCAUUUAUAAAAUGGGGACUGUGACUUCAGCUUUAAGGUUUAAAGAGAAGUGGUUCCUAAAGUUUCACGGUUUUUAAAUGUUCUUCUUCAAUUAGAUUUGAUUGGUACAUUUUAGAUAUACAUUCCAUGCAUCAGAGAGAAUGUGUAUGUGACCUCCUGAUGUUGCUUGAUUCUUUUUUUCCACAUUCCCCUACCCCUGAAGUUGCUAGCACAUAAAGAUGUCGGGUUAGUAGUGGGUCACUGAUGUGUCUGCUGUUGUACUUGCUGUGUAUUGGUUGGUGGCCACCGAGCAUUUAUGGUGGACCUACCUUGAUUCGGGGCUGACUGUUACAGAGUUUGGGGCACAGGGCUGUAAUGCUGAGGUGCUUUGGUUGGGGCAGCCCCGCUACCCCACACCCUACUGGAAGUUGAACCAGAGAACAUUCAACUAUAUCCCCAGGCCUUUUUGCUUUUUAAAAAAUUUUUAGACCAGGUCUCCCUAGGUUGCCCAGACUAAUAUUGAACUCACGGUGCUCUUCUUCAGACUCCUGAAUUGUAGGCUUGUCAGCGUGCUACUGGGCCCAACAUAGCUUUCUUUUUCAACUGUGCCUUUCAUCCAGGAACUGACAAGGUUUGUCAGUGUCUGGAGACGCUUGUGAUCAUGCCAUCAGGUGGAGGGAGUGAUACUGGUCACUAGUGAGUCGAAAGCAGGAAUGUUGCUAAAAACUCCUCAGUGUUCCGCGCCAUGGUGGCACACAGCUGCAAUCCCAGCACUCAGGAGGUAGAGGCAGAAGGAGUGCUGUGAGGAUGAGGCCAGCCUGGGUUACAAAGUGAGUUGAAGGCCAGCCUGAACUGUAGCGAGAUCCUGUCUCAGGCCGAAAAAAGUAAAAAACAAAACAAACAAACAAACGUAAAAAAACCAGAAACCAAAAACCAAAACAAAAUUAACAAAAAAAAAUCCCCAAAAAACAAAACACAAAACCUCCUCGGUAUAGUAUGCAGAAUUAUCUGAUUCCAAAUAUCAGUAAUGCAGAAAUUGAGAAACUCUGCUUUGGAGGAAAAUUAUAUUAUCCCAUAACGUCCACAAUGCUUUUAUUUUUAUUUUAUUGUUUUUUGGUACCAGGGACCAAACUCACAACUUAGCGCUUACCAGGCAGGCGCUUAUACUGCUGAGCUAAAUCCCUGGCUCAACACUGCUUUUAAUGUCAGUUAGAGUAACAGUUGAAAUCUGCAAACAAGUCUCACUUUGUGAUGCAUUGGCACUUUUUAAAACAUCUUUGUUGCUGUGUAAUAUAUAGACAUGAAACUUACCCACCACGUGGGUGCAGUGCGGGCCCUUUGAGUAACUACAUGGUUGUUGCGUCCUUGGUCACCAGUCCUAAUUCUCCCAUUCUACUAAAACACUUCUUCCCACCAGCUUUGCUGUUUUUCUUUGCUGGGAAUUGGACCCAGGGCCCAGGCAUCUUAGGCAAAGCACUUUGAUCUUGAGCUACAUCCCUGAAUGUCCUCCGUCCUGUCAGCCUUUAAGAUGAUAAUUUCGACUGGUUGGUGAUUUAUAAACAGAAACUAAAUAAAUCUAAAAGUCUUUCUGCAGACAAGCAGUGUUACAGCAAGAUAGAACACAGAAGUUAGGUAAAAUGCUUUCAAAGAUCACUACUUUAGCCAUAGAAGGCAUACAGUUACUUAUUUCUUUAUUUUUUGGUAUGGGGGUCGAACUCACAACCUUGCACUUGUCAGGCAGGCACUUUUGUCGUUCAGCGAAAUCCCCGGCCCUACCGUUACUUCUUAUGUGAUGAUUUCUUUAAAAGACAGGAUCAGAAAGUCCAAAACACACACCAAAGCUUUUUUGGGCAGGUGUGAUAUAGAAAGUCACAAGGAGAAUUAACCACAUUUAAUUCUGUGUCCUCAUAAAUUUUCAGGGAGCAAGGAGAUUCAGGGCUACAAAACAUUUAGAUUGCAAUUGGUAGUUUUAUGUGUGACUGAAAAGGUAGUUUAUAGGGCAAAACAGAACGAAAUCUGCUGAGGACGGUUUUGUUUUAGGAAGCAUGUGCUUGCAGACCGUUGUUUGUGAUGCUACAUUGGCAAACGUGUUUUUUUCUUUCUUUUCUUUUCCUUUUGUUUUGUUUGAAACAGGGUCUUGAUAUGUAGCUCAGGCUGGCCUUGAACUCUUGGUAGCCCUCCUGCCUCAGCCUCCCCAGGGCUGCAAUUACAGGCUUGUGCCACUGUGCCUGGGUUUGUUUUUUGUUUUUGUCUUUUUUCUUUUCUCAUUCGUUGGGUGGCCUUGAACAGAGUUGCUGAUCCACAGGACCUGACUUGUCCAGGAUGGGUGAGGGGAUUGGCAGGGGGGCAUCUAUGCUCCUUGUGGAAGAUCUAAAGAUGCACCACAGUGCCAGAGCCUUUUGAACUUCCGAGAUCUAGUGGCUUCUGAGUGAACUCCUGAGAGUGAGGCAGCUAUUUAGGAAGAAUCGUCAAGGGUUCCUUUUCUGGGAGCGCAUAGUGGUAGAGAUAGGAUCAGAAUCAUAGGCUUGCUGGCCGCCUGCACCGAGGGAUCUCCAGAAACGCCGGCUGGCUCUUCCUCAGGCACCAGCUGGCAGCCACUCAGCUUCUUCUGCUUUACCUCCUUGGGGAGGUGGAGUCAGGGCACCACCACACUGACUUAUUUUGAAGAUAAAUAGUUUGGCAUAUGUGAAAGCUCUUGAAACAUGAGCAUUCCACAAACAUCUGUGUUAUUUUUAGAAGUAUUCCCUUGAUGCCAGGUUUGGUGGUGCGUGCUUAUAUUCUCGGCACCCAGGAGCCUGAGGUAGGAUGACCAUGAAAUUGAGGCCAGUGUGGGCUGCAUAGGGAGACUCUAUCAUAAAUAAGCAAGCAGGCAAACAAACAAAUGUUAUGAUAUGAGUAGUUUGUAUUUUACUAAAGUGCUAUUUCUCCAUUACUUGGUUCUUUUUCCCAAGAGUUAUCAGAAGCGAAGACAGGUGAUGUUACUAGCAGGGACUGACACCUGAAGCGAUUAGUUAAAUGGCUUCCCAAAGCUGGAGGGUUUGCUCAGGAAGAUACCAGUUCACUAUACUCCCUUUCCAAAGCUUUCUCCUGGAAUUUAGGAGGUCACUGAUCUUCCAAAUGGCUUCUAGAGAGGACUUCAUUUGUUUCAGGCAGUCUGUUCUCAUUUGAUGUUUAUUGUACUCCUAUUAAGAGGUGUGUUCAAAGACUUUCCUGGUCCAUUGAUACUUGCAGGCCAUAAAGUAAACGAAAUAAGUGUUUUUAUUACUGGCCCAGGACAGACAUAAUGUGUGCCCUCGACUGUUUUAAAGCUGACAAUCAAACUGAUCACUGUGCUGGCCCACUAGAAGUCCAAGUUGAGGAAAGAUGAAACAGAGAACCCACUCAGGCUGUGGAGGUGCUAGAUGUGUCAGGAAGGUAAGAAACCGAUGGCCUGAAACAUUAGAGGUUCUUAAACAGCUCUCUCUAAGACUAUACACAUAGCAGUAUUUCAGCACAACCAAAAGGAAAAUCAUUUGAAAGUAUUUUUAAGUUUAUUAUACGUAUAAUAAAGAGCUCAAAUCAUAUGUUAACAGCUCCAGGAGUUUUUCCAUUUGUGUAUGUCUGUGUAGCUACCACCCAGAUAAAAGUACAGGACAUUUUCCGCCCCGAUAACCCAUGUUCUAUUACCAGAGAUUAGUUUUGUCUGUUCUGAAGUUUCGCAUAAAUGGAAUCAUAUGGUAUGAACACAUUGUGUCUGGUCUCUGUCACUCAGUAUUAUGUCUGUGAGACGCAUCCACGUCAUGUGUAGCAAGUUUUUAAAGUCAGUAAAAAAUUCCCACCAUUUUGAGGGUGAGGUCAGCAGAUGUGGACCCUUUCAUAGAAUGGAUGUAAUUAGGCCUUUAAAGGGGGGGGGUGUCGUAAAACAGGAUGACAGCUUCAUAUGUAAGUAUAUAAGAAGAAUGUGUGAGGGCAGGAUGGGGACGGGGAUGGGGUGUGCCUAGUCAUGCGGGUGUUGGGUUUGAGGCCAGGUCUCUCAGAGUAGACCGUGCUGGCUUUGAGCUUGCUGUGUAGCCUCGGCUGGCCUCCAACUCGCAUCCUCACACCACCACCCUCAGCCCUUUGCCAAAUGGGUGCUGGUGGCGAGGCAUGGCUGGCAGAGAAGCGGAAUGAUGGGGUGGGUGGGGCGGUGAUGUCACAGGUGGUGGAAUGUUCAGGGCACAGUUCCUUCUCCCUGGCGUCUGUAGUGGUGAGUCCUGAAUGGUAACUAUCACACGAAGCUCUGCCCUUACCCUCCCUGGUCCAGGAAGAUGAUGGGAAUUACUGCCCAUGGCAGUCUGCAGGCUCCGUAGCGUGUGUGUGUGUGUGUGUGUGUGUGUGUGUGUGUGUGUGUGUGUUGGGAGGGUGGCAGUUUCCUGAAAGCUUGGCUAGAACCUGGCCCACAGAGCUCCAGCAGGCAGCCACCUCUGAUGGUGGCCUAGUGCACGGAGGUGUUGGAAAGGACGCUCUUCUCCAUGUUCUAGCUGCUCCCAGGACUGGCGGUGAGAGCUACAGAUUAUGCCACAUCCCUGGAUGCUAGAAAUGAAUAUGUAAGAUGAGCUUACUAUUGAAUGCAGUCCUGUGGGGUCAUCCACCUGUAAAUUAACCCUUCUGUAGUUGAUGCUUCACCAGAUGGGAUUUUCGUCCUUAAAUUUGCGUACCCAUGUGCGUUUCCAUUACCAUUUAUUUGCUCAUUUGACACUUAAUUGUAUGGGUGAUGUUAGAUUCUGUUCAUCAGUUCUAAUUCAGACUUCUUAAACAGAAGUUUUUACCUGGUUACCUUUCAGGUAGGGUUGUCUGCGUCUUGUUCGCGUACCUUAUUCCCUGUUCUCCAACCCCAGCUCCUCAGUCGGCCCCCACUCCCUCCCUCACCCCUCACAGCAGCUGCCACCCCGUCAAUCUUUUUCUUUACUGUACUUAUCAGUGCUUUGAAAUCAUGUAUGUACAUGUUUACCUUUAUUGUUUUAUCUGUAGAUACUUGUCAUACAUACUGAUGGCAUUCAUCGUAGGGGACUUGUACCUGUACAUUAUAGAUCUUGAUUCCUCUUCUUUCACUAGUCUUCUCAUCUCCUUUCAGCCUUUCUUCUCUUUUGCAUUUACAAAAGCUUUGUUUCCAUUUUAUUACGUCUGUUCUCACUUUUUUUGAAAUUGCCCAUUUUUAGAAUAAUUUCGUUUUUCUUGCUAUCGGAGAUCGAACUCACGACCUCAUGCUUGCCAGGCAGGCGCUUAUGCCACUGAGCUAAAUCCCUGGCCCAUAGAAAAAUUUCUUGUCCACCUCCCUUCUAACAACAGAAGUCCUACGAAGCAGGGCCUUCAGUUUACUUCACAUCCUGGGUGGACUGCACCUCGCACAUAGUAAUCCACACAUCAUUUAUGGAACAAAAGAGUCAUGUUCUGUUUAGAGGCUCUGUGAGAUUAGAGAAAGGGAACUCUCGUGUGCUUCCCCAGGCCUGGGGAUUGAACCUGGAGAUGCUCUACCACUGAGCGACAUCCCCAGCGCGUCAUAUUUUGUGUUGCUCUUAUGGGACUGCCCAGGCAGGCUUGCCUUGCAGUCUGCCUCGGCCUCCUGAGUAUCUGGAAUUACAGGCCUCACCAUGAAAUUGUGCUUUGAGGAUGAAGAAGCUGAUACUCGGAGAGGUUUAGGAACUAGGUGUGUGGUUUACAGCUGAGCCACUGUCACUUGAGCCAUCACGGCGUUAUUCAUUCCCACGUGCAGUUCUUGUUGGCUCAGGGUUGAUCCAGUGACAAGCUUCCCAUGUUUGGUUGCCCGGGCUUUUGCUACAAACCAAGCAAAGAGAAGUGAAGUCUGCGUUUCAGUUCUUUGAAUGAGUGAUGUGAACUUUUUCAACCACCAACUGUCUCCUUCUUCUGUAGAUUAAAACUGAAUUUUCACAAAGCUUUCAUGAAUAUGAUGAGACUAGUAAGUUAAAACCUAUGAAUGAGAAAAUACUCUACUCUAAAUGUAUUAUUUUAGUGAAAUAGAAAAAAAAAUAACACAGUUGUAUGUAAAGGCAUGUUUUCUAAAUGUUUUUGUUUUGCUGGCUAUUUUAAAGUCUACAACAGACUGAUUUGUUCUUCUGAUUGGCUUUUCAUUUUUUUAAUCAAGAGAAGAGCACAUUUAUUUUGGAAAGAAGUAUGAAUACUGGCUUCAGUGAUCUAUUUGGGAUGAUCCAGUAUCCGAUCUCAGGAGGAGGCCUAGAGGAAUCUCUUCAGUGACCUCGAGUUAGAUGUGUGGGGUUGUGGCUACCAAAUUCCACACCACCCUAAUCAGCCCUUGUGCACUGGGUUCAGCCGUGGCUUGCGUGGUAUUGGCAUGCAGGAGAUUCCAGAGGUACAGGGACAAGACCCAAGUAAUGUCACAGUGACUGACGGUGGCAGUGGUAAUUUGUGUCAGCUCUAACAAGCUGGUGUUGAAACUGGGUGGCAGAAUGCCAAGGAAGCCAAGGUCAGCAGACUUGGAAAUAAUGAGGUGAGUCAUGUAACCCAGGAGUUGCACGUACCCACAGGACUACAGGACUGUCUGAGUCACCUCUCCUCCAGGGAGCACAGACAUGUGGCGGAGUUAGGUGCAGGACCUGCUGCGUGUGCCGAAGGGAGCAGAAAUCACAGCACCCUCCCCCUGUCCUGCUGGGGAGACAGAUAGAGAAGACAAGAAAAGUAAAGGUGAAUAACCAAGCAUAAUGUGCAGGGAGAGAAAGCCAGCAGGAAAAGGGACAGACAGGUGGAGCACAAGGAAUGAAACGGAGCAGAGAGCAGAACUGAAGGGAGCCAGGCUGCUGUAGCUGCUGGGGUGGGGGUGGGGCUCCUUCUGUGCUCUUUUUGGCUGUGUGACCAAGGAGAGGCUCUGGGCCCUGGAUGAGCUGCAGGCUUCAGAAUGAAACUGGAGAUAGUAGUGACUGAACAUUUUCUCUUCAUUCAACAAAUGACGCCAGGCAUUAAUUUAGACACUGUGGAUGUGGUGACAGAUGGGUUCUUACUCUUGCAGAGCUUGCUUUCUGGUAGCAGAAGCAGACAGUAAACAAGAAAAUAACAGAAUAUGGCAAGUGGCACAGAGAUGGGAAGCAUAAUUAAAUGAGGGAGCUUGGGGAAAAUUCCUUCACAUCUUCUCAGAAAGGUCUCUGAGGAGGGCACCAGGCCUGAGUGACAAGGUGGGGUGAAGGGCCAAGUGGGGGCGGUGAAGAUGCAGGCCAGCAGUGUCUGGACAUGUCUGAGGGCUGGCGAAAACCAGUGUGGUGGGAUGAGCUGCACAGAGAGAGGGGCCAGGGUAGGAGUUGAUCUGGAGGAGACUAAGAGGCCAGGUUGCAGAGGAGACUUAAGAGGCCAGGUUGCCAGAGUUUAAUUUUUCCCCGAGGAAAUUUUCAGAUCUGUUCAGUUAGUUUUGACAGAUACCUAGCAAACUAUAGACCAUUUCUAUUGCCAAGGAGAAUUCCCUCCCACUUCUUGCCUUUAAGGUUUUCUCCAUAAGAAUCAGCCACUGAGGAAUACUACUCAGCUAUAAAGACUGACAAAUUUGAAAUGUUUGUAGGAAAACGGAUGCACCUGGAAAUUAUAAUUUUGCAUGAAUUAAACCAGAUGCACAAGCUGAAAUACCAUAUGAUAGCUUUCAUUUGAGUGAGGCAAAGUACAAAGAAAAUGGUGAAGAUUGGAUAGAAAGGGCCAAGGGGCUGGAUGCCUUACAGGAGGGAAGUGGUCCAGGGGAACAAGGGCAAGGGGUGAGGAGGAAGAGGAGGGGAAGGGGAAUGAGAGGAAUGGAAAUGUGCCAUGUACAGGCACCUAACAACUCCGAGGAGUAUAAACACUGCUGUAAGAUGAGCUAAGACAGCGUCACAAGUACAGUAUGAAAAAGGGACAGGGAGGGCCUGGGAGUUAGCUCAGUGGCAUGAAUUCCUGCCUGGCAAGUGUGAGGUAGUGAGUUCAAUCUCCCGUACAUCCCCGCCCCCCCCCCCCCCCAGUAAAAACAAAAGGGACAAGGGAAUUGCAGGGGGAGUGGGGAGGAAAAGAGAAGGGGAUUUAUGUCUGAGACAGGGUUUCACUAUAUAGUUCACUUUUUAGCCCAGGCUGGCCUUGAACUCACAGUAAUCCCCCUGCCUUAGCCUCUUUAGUGCUGGGAUUACAAGUAUGUGCCGCCAUGCCCAGUGGGGGGAAAAAUUGAAAAGAAAUUAAGUAAGCUGUAAUGUACAUAGGGCCACCUGCAAGAUGAUUACACUGCAUAAAUUACAAACAUGUACUAAUAAAAAAAAUUUUUAAGAAGUCAGUCACUGGGCUGGGGAUUUAGCUCAGCAGCAUAAGCGCCUGCCUUGCAAGCAGGCAGUCGUGAGUUUGAUCCCUGGUACCGAUAAAAAGGAAAAAGAUAAAAAAAAAAAAAAAAAAAAAAAGAAGUCAGUCACUGAUCUGGUUUGUGUCACGGCGGGUUGGUUGGGCUGUUUUAUUAGUUUCCUGGGUGUCGUCCUAUUCAGCGUGGCUCUCUUGCUUCCGUGUGGUACCCAUGCUGCUUCAUGGGCUGUGUGAGCAACAGCUGAUUUCUGAUUUCUCUUUAUUUCUGAGGAGUGUCCAUCCCCUUUUCCUGUUGGGGACAUCUAGGCUUUUUCCAGGACGUUCAGAUUUGCGUUUUAAAGCAAAGCCUCUGAGAAGACUGAAGUGGGAGAAAGACUAGAAUGAGGGAAGCACUUGGAAAGAAACUGUACCUGUCGCCCAGGGGUGGCUGUCCCUGGGUCAGGUGCUGUAGCAGUGGAGGGCAAGGGAGAGACCGUGUAGGUUGUGAGUUAGAGGCAGUGAGACUGUCGGGAAGAGUGUAAGAGAAAGGAAUUCAGGGUAAUGUCCAAGCUGUUGGUGUGAGCAGUUGAAAAGAAGGUGGUUUUGUGUACCAGAGUGGAGAAGGCCUGGGAAGGAGGAGGUUUGGGAUAAUGCGCUUUCAUGGGAGUGUUAAAUUAGGUGUGUCUCUUGACAGUUCAGUGUCAUUUUGAUGAUACACUGUGAUUAUUUUAUUUAGCAACUUGGUAUAGAAUCUGGGAUAUUCCAAGUGAUCAGUAAAAUGUUAGCUACUAUCCCAGUUAAACGCAGUGCUAAAUAAUAAUUAUUGGUCCUAAAAAAGAAGCUAGUCAAAUUGGAGAAAAAGGAAAAUGGAUAGAGAAACAGUGGGAAAUAGGGCCUACUGGGUUGUGAAAAAUUAGUUGUAGAGGAAAAAUUCAAAGAGGAUCCAUCAGGUAGAGUCUUUGCACUUUUAAGAGGAGGAAUCUUAAGAUGUUCCAGGAGUGUCCGAGAGCACCUGUGGGUAUGGUCUAGCUCCUUUUUCUUCCCAGGCCAGCCACACCUGUUGUCUGAGCAUUGAGGUACUUGUCCUGCAGGGCCGUGGCAGCAGAAAACAAGAUGAUUUAGGCUGCAAUUACCUUGCAAAGACUCAAACACAACUAGUCCCCGUUGCGUGAAUGAGCUUUUCAGUCCAGUGUGAGUGGGUGGAGGUUGGGAUGGGAAUGCCUUGUGAGGGAAGAAGUGUGUCUGCUAACUGGCUGGUGGGGCCUCCAUGACAGCUUUGGUACUGACAGUGGAGGAGGUAUAAAUCUGAGAAGCUUGGAGGAGGGAUGGAGUCACUGAGUGAGGCACUGGAUACAGAUGUUUUGAGCUUCAGCAGCUGGGAGAAGUGUAAUGGGAGUGAAGGAUUAGGGUAGUUAAAAGGGGGGAAGUGCCGAAAUUGAGGGUGAGUUUUGGUGUAAUACUUUAUGGUCAGAGAUGCCAAAUGUAGGCAGUUGGGAAAUAUGGGCUGGAAGUGCAGUUUUGUGUUGUGGUUUUUUUUUUUUUUUUUUUUUUGGUACCUAGAAUUGAACAGAGGACCUUGUGCUUGCCAGGCAGGUGCUGUGCUGUUGAGCUGUAUUCCCAGCUCUCCAAGUGCUGUUUUACAGGUUGGGCUGGUUAUGUGACCCUGGGAGUCAUCAAUGCAGAUGAUGCCUGAUGCCAUGAGAAUGUGAGCUGUCCAGGGAAACAGCAUGGGAGGCAUUGCAGCUCACCCUGGUAGACAUGGUGCCAGAAUGCAGGCUGCAGAGCGAAGUGCUGCGCCGCUCUGCUGGGAGAGUGAGCUGCCCUUGGCCAAGGAAGGCUGGUAGAUCUUUGCCCCGGGUAGGAGGAGGAGUUGACUGCUUAGGCACCUUUGCACAUCACGUUGAGAAGGGAAGUUGGAGAGGGAGAGGGAGAGGGAGAGGGCCCUGCUGUCACUCGGGACUUCCCGAGUCCCCCCCCCCCCCAGUGAUGCCCUCUUGGGUUUGACCCUGGAGUGGUGACUGGUGUAACCAAGGGGCUGGGCAUCGCCUAGACCAUGUGGCCUGAGAUCCCGCCUGGGUUCUGGGCCUUUGCCAAACUGAGUUACUUAGGAAGAAGAGGAUAAUCCCUUUUUAAACUCCAGUGAGAGCACGAGGACUUCCAGACAGGAGUGUCAUGAAGAAUUCCCUUAAUUUGAUGUUGGGGUGACCCAGGAACAUGGCUGAGAAGCAUUCGAAUGAAGUGUUUAUGCCUGGGUGUUUAACCCUGCGUCAUUUUCUCAAAAUAAGAUUUCUGUUCUUCUGAGUGCUUGACUACCCUAACUUUUUUUUUUCUUGUAUGUGGGAUUCUCUGGGGCUUUCUAGACCAAAAGGCUCACCCACCUUCUCUUCCCUUUUUCUUUCUUUCCUUCCUCCCUACCUUCUGCUCUCUCCUUCUCCCCGCUUGCUUUCUCCCUCUCUCUAUCUCUCUAUCUCAUAGCCCAGGCUGGUAUUGAACAAACCAGCCAGUGAGGUCUUCAGAGGUGAUAAUGCAGUGAAUUACCUCACUGGUGACUUUUUUGUCCUUUUUACUUCCGUUUCCAAUCUCACUUCUAGGCAGCUUUACUCCCCUGCCCUUUUCUUUUCACCAGUGCUGACUUGCUAGAAAUUUUAUUCAUUUGUUUUUAUUGGUACCGUGGAUCGAACUCAUGACCGCCUGCUUGCAAGGCAGGUUCUUACGCCACUGAGCUAAAUCCCCAGCCCCUAGAAAUUUUAAGUUUCAGGGUUUUUUUUUUUUUUUGUGUGUGUGUGUGGCCCAGGCUGGCCUUGAACUUAUGAUCCUUCUCCUUCAGCUGGGAUCCUAGGUGAAGGCCUUCAUUACUGGUUGAAAUUCAAUUUUAAGUCAUAGCUUUAGGGUUUUGCCUGCUAUUGGAAAAAACUAUUUAAAUCAGAAAUAUUGUAACAUAAGGGGAAAAGCAAAAGGUUGUGUCCUAGAAAGAACUGCUUAAUCCUUUUAAACUUAAUCUGCAUAUGAAAAGCUAUAGUCAAUCAAGGAGCAAAAAGAGGUGUUGCAACCCUCAGAAGUCUGUAUUCUUCCACGGUAGUGUUUCUGGAAGGGUGGUCCUUAGGCAGCACCAUUUUAAAAAUGCGGAGUUCAGGUUCUACCUCACAUUUGGAGAGUUUGGUCUGCAUUGUGAGCAGAACCCUUAGCUAUUAACUCUCAAGCAAGUUCCAGAAGCUGUGCUCCAAAUCACAUCAGUAUGGUCAACUGUUCAUUUCUGCAGAGGAAACUUCUACUGCCGUUGCAGCUGUGUUCUGUUGGCUCCAGAUGUUGUUUUAAAAUAGGAUUAAAAGAUCUUUUUCAAAAUAAUGCAUGCACAUAGUUCAGAGGAAAAUCUGAACCGUUCUCAGUGAGAGCAAAUGAAAAUUUGCAGCUCCACCUAAGUCUCUCCCUCCCAGCCUCACUCCAUCUUAACCUUUUGUGGAAGGCUGCUUGCUACAACUGUAUAUUGCAGUUCAGGAAGGAGAACUGGAUGCAGAAUCCAGAAAUUCACCUGACACUUCUGCCUGGCAGGAAUGGAUUUGCAAAAAGACUAGGAAAUGGGCUGGGGAUUUAGCUCAGCGCCAUAAGUGCAAUACCUGGUACCUAAAAAAAAAAAAACAAAACAAAAAACAACAAGGCAAAAGAAAAGACUAGGGAGUUAGACUUUAUCAAGUCAGAGUUGUUUAGUGGGGAGCCUGGAGCAAACACAAGCCAUGCUGGUCUUUAUAAUUAGCAAGUUUUAAUUGUUUCACAACUCUACUAGUUUUGAAACGGGGUGACCUACUUAAUGAUUGCAUUUAUUCCUGUCAUUUGUUUCUCUGUCACCAGCAGAUUCAGACAGUGGAGGUGCAGCUGCCUAGAAACAGUCUCUUUUGUUUUCUUCAGAUCAGAAAAGGACUGGGUCUUGUACAGGCCCGGUGCAAGACACCCUCAUGUGUGCCCCCCCGCUUGGUAAACUCACAACCUCAUGCUUGUGAGGCAGGUGCUUAUGCUGCCGAGCUGUACCCCCCGCCCUCCUCCCCUCUUUUUCAAAUGUGUUAUCUUUCAUGGCUUCUGUGCUGAGUGUGAUGUGUCUGAAGCUUAUCUAUGUCAUAGCAUCUAUUAGUUCUUCCUGCUUUUUAUUGAUGAGUAAUAUUCCAUUAUGUAGCUAUAUCAUUUUUUGUUAGUAUUAACAAGUCCAUAGACAUUUGGUUCUUUACACUUUGACAGGGAAUAAUGUGAGUCAUCUGAGUGCAAGUCUUAACCUAUUGCCUCCUUUCCCACCUAUGUCCAGCUGCUGGCAUCUACAGGGCUACAGUUUAUCUUUAUGAAUUUGGCUACUGUGCACACUUCAUAUAAACUCACAGUGUUUGUCCUGUUGUAACUGACUUAUUUAGCAAAUUUAUUUCAUGUAGUGGCACAGGUCAGAAUUUUUUUAAAGUUUCAAUAAUAGAUCCAUUUAUCAACUAAUUAUUUUUUGGUACUGGUAAUUGAACUCAGGGCCAUUGCUGAGCUACAUUCUCAGCUCUUUUUUAUUUUGAGAUGGGGUCUAGUUGAGUUGCUAAGUUAACCUGGCUGGGAUUGGGCAUAAAUUUUCAGAUACUGCUACUGCAGCCUUUCAAAGUUCUGGGAUUACGGUCAGGUGCCACUACGCCUGCCCUCCGAUGUGUUUUCUUCUAAGAGAUUUAUUUUAUUUUAUUUUAUUUUUUGUCUUUUUUGAGGUAGGGUCUCACUGUGCAGUUCAGGCUGACCUUAAGUUUAGUUUGUAACCCAGGCUGGCCUUGAACUGGCAACAAUCCUCCUGCCUCAGCCUCCCAACUGUUGGGACAAUAGGAAUGUGCCACCAUGCCUGGUGAGGUUUAUAGUUUUAUGUUUUGAAUUGAAGAAUUUGAGUUUGCUCGCCCCUCCAGUCCUAGGGAUGGAACCCAGUGCUUCAUUUAUGCGAGGCAAUCGAUUUUGAGUUAAUUAUGAUAUUAAGGGUCCAACUUGAUUCUCUUGUAUGUAGAUAACCAUUUUCCCUGGCACUAUUUGUUGAAAAAAACUACCCCUUCCACAUUCAGUGGUUUUGGCAUUCUUGUCAAAGUCAUUUGAUCAUAUAGGUUGAGUGUUUAAUUUUGAUCUAUUUAUUCUAGUUCAUUGAUCCUCCUACCUCAGCCUCCUGAGUGCUGGCAUUACAAGGGGUGCAGCACUACGCCCAGCUUGGAAAGUGGUUUCUGACUUUUAUUAUUUUAUUGUGAUGCUGGUGAUCAAACCCAAGAGCUUACAGAUGCUAGGCAGGUGCUCUUCUGCUGAGCCACACCCUCAACAGGACUGCUGACUCCUACAGCUGCCUCUGUCCCUCCUGGAGCAGAGAAGUACGAUAUGAUGACCUCCCCCUGCAAGCCCAAAGCCGGUUAUCUGCCUGGGCAUGCUUUAAGCUUUUACUAGGUAGACUGGGUAACCUCAAGCAAGGCUCUUAUCACCUAAAGCUUCAGCUUUCUCUUCAAAUAAGGGUGCUUUCCUUACACAGCGUGAGAUAAAAAUAGUAUACAAAUACUUUUCUCUAUGUAUGUGUUCCUAAACGUUGGGUUCCCAGUUUCACUCCAUUAAUUUCCCAUCGCUGUGGUCUUGCUGUGGGACUGCUCUGUCACUGACUUUUAAGUGAUCCAGCCAAUGGGACUUUCCCCUAUUUUAAGUGGGACAGAAUCCUGCUGGACAGCUUGCUUGUCUUGCUUCUUUUCUGGACAUCAUCCAAAUACCCUCACACCCAUGUCACAAAUUAACACCAAGUGUGUGGGGAGCUUCCCAGUACCCCUUGUCUAUCUGCAAAUCUGGGCUGUGACUACUGGCUUUUCCAGUUUAGCUUCUUUUCCGCCAUCUGUCCUGACUUCUGCAUACCGUACUGGUCUGCUGCAUUCCCCUGACCUCUAACCUUGGAGUUACCUUGGAGAAACCUCUUUACCUGAAGCCUGUGAGAAGCAGUGUCUUGGCCUUUUGUUUCUUCUUGAUUCUGUGGUGUCUGCAGAGACCUGUUCUGGGGGGGAUGACGUCAUCUGAGUGGCCUCCCUCCUGGUGCCCAGGUUGCUGGCUGCUGCUGCAGUAAUUGGCCUGGCAGUGUGCUCCCUGAAAGGCUGCCCUUCAGCUGGUACUUUGUUAGAGCUGCAGGGCCAGCCCCCUUGGGACUUCUAGACAGCAGCUGUCACAGCCAAUUAAGAAGAGAUGGGGGAAGGUGUCUUGAAGGGAUUCUUCUUAUCUCAGAAGAACAGCGGCCAGGCUGGAACAUUGGUAAUGGGGAGAUGAGGAGCAGUGCGCAGGGCCUGACAGUUGCAGCUUGGUGCACUUGGCAGGAAAUGCAUUGCUGGCAUUCGGAAGACUGGCUUUGAAUAUUCUUAAAAGGCCUUAUUUGCCCUCUUUAUUUGCACAUUGGAUAAUGUAUCCCACACAAAUCAAAAGCAUGGUGUGUGCACUGAGAUUGCUCUGUGGCCAUGGUGUGUGUACAUCAGCAGGAAGUGCUUUUUGUAUUCUACCAAAAAGUUCUGAAGCAAAUGAGUAGAACUUAGAAGACUCUAGCGUAUCUUUACCUACUUGGGGAUAUUUUGAGACUAUUUUGUGGCUAAAUUCUUAGGGCCCAUAGCGAAGACUUGGGGCUUAGAAUGGAAUCCCUUGAACCUCUAGUUUAUCGAUGUCCAGUAGAAUUAUAGUGAGAACCACAUAGGUAAUGUAACAUUUUCUAGUAGUCCCAUGUACUAAUUUUGUAGAGCUACCAUAACAAAUCACCACAUAUCGGGUGGCUUAGGACAGCAAAAUGUCUUGUACAGUUAGUGUUCUGGAGUCCGGAAAUCAAGAGAGCAAAGUGUCAUUGUCGUGGGCACCUCGUUUGGGGAGGCACCUUGUCUGGGGAGGAAUCUUGCUGAGCCUUUACCUGGCAGCUGAUGUCUCCAGUAAUCCUUGACAUUCUUUGUCAUUUAAUUAAGCGCGCAGCUGCAAUCUCUGCUCCCCUUUGGUCUUCUGUGGUUGUCCCUGUGUUUGGCACAUGUGUUUAAUGUGUAUGGCUGGUUAACACCAGAGGGUUGGGGUGUGGCUCAGUGGGAGAGCCUAGCCUGUGUGAGACCCUGGGCUCAGUCUCAGUCCUUAGCACUGAGAGGGAAUGAGAGAGGGAAGGAAGAGAGAGAAAAACCCAAAAAGUUAAAUUUCUCUGAUUUUAAUGUUUUGUUUGGCUUUAUAUGCCAAAAUAUUAUCACUAUACCUUAUAGUCAAAAAAAGUCAUAAUGGGACAAUUAUUAGUUAUUUUUGGGGACAAUUAUUAUUAUUACUAUUAAUUACUGUAGCACUGCAGAUACUGUAGUACUGGUCCACAAUGAGCUACACUUGCAACCCUCUUCUUGAAUUACUUUUAUUUAUUUAGCUGUAUUGUUUGCAGGGUCUCACUAAGUCACUGAGUUGCCCAGGCUGGGCUUGGACUCGCAGUCCUCUUGCCUCAGCCUCCUGGAGAUCUUGAGAUUAUAGGAAUGUGUUCCCACAUCCAGCUCACUGGGAUUUUUUAAAAUGCUCUUUAAAAUCUAGUGUGUGUUUGUACUCAUAAUUCAUCUCAGUGUGGAGACCCACUUUUCUUUUCUUUUCUUUUUUUUUUUUUGUCUUUUUCCUUUUUAUCGGUACCAGGGAUAGAACUCACGACUGCCUGCUUGUAAGGCAGGCGCUUAUGCCGCUGAGCUAAAUCCCCAGCCCCCGAGACCCACUUUUCAAGGGCUUAACAGUCCAUGUGGGGCCAGUGGCUGCCUCUGGACAGUGCAGCUGGGGUCCCUGGGGCCGACACUAGUGGUACAUACUUCUCAGUGUUUUGUUCUGGGUGUUCGCCCUCCUUCAUCUUCCUGGGAUUUUUCUUUUCUUUUCUUUUUUUCUUACUUUCUUUCUUUCUUUCACAAAGUCUUAGUCAUUUUGAACAAAAGGAAUGAAAACCUACUGCACAAAAACUACUGGGGACCCCAGAACACAGUGAAUAGGGGAAACAAAAUUAGCCAGUUUUGCAGCAAAGGACCUUUAUUCACUUAUUUUCUUAGGGUUUUUUUUUUUUUUUUUUUUUUGGUUAGUGCUGGGGCUGGUACCCAAGAAUUCAGUUACAUUUUUAAGGGAUGGUAUUUAUUGUGUGGUGGAAUUCAUAAACAUUCUAUCACAGUGGCUUAAGUAAGAGGAGUUAAUAUUUGGGAUUUUUUAAAUUGAGUGGGAAAAUAAAAGACUUCAUUAUUGUAAACCUCCCUUUAGGAGACCUGUGACUCAUGUGUACACAAGCCCCCAGUGAACACGGCUAUUAUUCUCUGUCAUGUUAAGACAAGAAGGGACAUAAGCUUUUCUUUUUGGGCUGACCGCAUUAAGUCUGUUGUAAUAAUGAAUUAUUAUCUGUAUCACUAAAGUCUGUAUUGUCUUUUCCAGGAAUUAAAAGCUUGUUACUUGUUAGUCAGAAGGGAAGGAGUGUAUGUGUGUGUGUGGUGGGGAGCUUUUAUAAGCAGUCCCUCAGGGAGAAAAAUUUGGAGCUACAUCUGCAGCCCUUUAAAAAUAUUUUAAAAUUUUAAGACAGAGUUGUUGCCAGGUAGCACAGAGGAAUCCAGGCUCUUCCUGUCCUGUGCAAAGAAUUGGCCAGCACGACUGGUGAGCACAACUUUUAAAGGGAGCAAAGGAAACAAGUAAAGGAGAGUGAAGAAGAGAAGAAAGGAAGGGUGUGGUGGUGCAUGCCUGUAAUCCCAGCCUUCAGGAGGCUGAGGCAGGAGGAUUGCUGUGAGUUGGAGAGUUCAUAGUUGCCAGUGUGAACUUUAUAGGAAGAUUCUGUCUCAAAAAACCAGAGAGGGUGAGAGCAGAGAGGGAAAAGGAGCAGAGAGAGGGAGAGAAAGAAAAGAUGAAGAGAUGAACAAGAAGAGGUGUGUUCACAAGCAGGAUGGGGUGUUACAGACACAGAGUGACAGGAAGGCAGGAAGAUUAUCACAGUGGUGGGAGUCAGUGGAGUGCUGUUUUAUCCUUCUAGAUCUGGUUGGGUAGAAGCUGCUCUGCCCAGCAUCCUGGCCGUGAUUGACAGGUCACCUCCGUUCAACAUCAGGUUCCAUGGCUAUAUCUGGUUUUCAGCCUCUGUUCUGGAUAUUCGUGAUUGAUAAAUUGCGUUUGUUUUCCAGCCAGUCUGCCGCGCCCUAACCUACUGUCUCAGGGUUGCUCGCUAGGUCACUGAGUUGCCCAGCCUGGACUCCUGCCUUAGCCUCCCACAGCAUUGGAAUUGCAGGUGUGCACACUGGGCCUGGCAGGAUCCUUGAUUUCCGAAGUCUAGUGUCUGAUAACGAUAUGGUUUCCUCUCUCCUGCUGUGACUGGAAUUAUCAGUGCUGGCUGUGGUAGCUUUUUCCCUGCCAGGUACACUCCCUGUAUAAACAGUCUAGCAAAGGCUGAGGCUGAGGUUGCACAUGUACCCAGAUGCAAAAUCCAUCUUGCUUCUCAAAGUAAAGUGUUACUUAGGUGAAUGAGGAAAGACUCUUACAUUACAUAAUUCUUUGGAAUCUUGAGUUUCUGGACAUUGCACACCUGACCCCCAGCGGUGUAUGAAUCCUGGUUCUUAAUCCAGAAGGAAAUCUUUGAGUAGAUAACUUGCCAUAUUUGUGAUAAUUUGAGGAGAAUCUCAUGUUCUUGUGUUGGGUUAGGGUUACAAUAUCCACAUCCCCUUCCCUCAAAAUCCACAUUCUGCCAGGUGUGGUGCGUACCUGUAAUGCCAGCACUUGGGAGGCUGAGGCAGGAGGAUCCUUGCAAUUUCGAGACCAGCCUGGGCUAUAAAGUGAGCUCAAGGCAUAUUGAGACUCUGUCUCAAAAAAAGACAAAAACAAAAGUAAACAAACAAAAAAUGCCCACAUCCCUUUACAUGUAGAUGCAGAGGGAUUCAUAAAUCCUGGACUGUGUUAAUCACAGCAGAGCUUUCCUGUGUAAUGGAGUGCACAGCUGAUUCUGGUAUGGAAGUUGAAAGAAAAAGGAAAUGGGAUUUUUUUUUUCAUGUACAUAAUUAGUAAAAAAAGAGAAAAUGACUGGAAUUUUUGUUUUUUAAAGCUGUAAUAACUGUCAUUGCUUCUUCUAGUGACUACAGGCAAAAGCAAAAAGGAGAAAAUCAAAAGACAGUUAGAAGUAUCCUGCCUCAGGUCUUUGUGCUCUGUCCCACCCCCUGUCAAGCCCUGCAGGUGGGUUGGAGAGGGAACCUUUGUAAGGGCAGUGAGGCUUCUACCCUGCCCCAAUGCCCUCACCUCAACCUCAGCGUCUUUCUCACUGGCCUGUGCGCUCUAGGUUGCCGAGGCUGUCCCCCUUCUCAGAAGUCUUGGCUGCCACGUUCUGAGAAAGGCGUGGUGUAGAUCGCACCUGUAUGCACCCAGUGUCAGCCCCGUCCUCAUCAUACUUGCUUCUCAAUGCACUCUGAUUUCCUAGUGCACUGUGUAACUCACUCGCUUGUGUAGCUGCCUGAUCUCUCUCUCUUUUUUUUUUUUGUCUUUGUUUCAUUUUUAUCGGUACCGGGGAUCGAACUCACAACCGCCUGCUUGCAAGGCAGGUGCUUAUGUCGCUGAGCUAAAUCCCCAACCCCAGCUGCUUGAUCUCUUAACCCCUCACUGUAAGCCUCAUGAGAGAAGGCACUUUGUUUCCUUUUGUAUAUGGCAGUGGUACCUGGCGCAUAGUAGGCCUUCAACUAAUGGUAUGAAGUGAAUCUGUUUGUAUGGUAGUUCUGACUUGAAAUGUAGUUCUCUAAACCCAGAGGUUUUUGGCCUUUGCUUUUGCUUUUUCCUGGAAUUAGUGAUAAUAAGAGGAUUGAGGAGCGCUUUGCUACUGAGCUACGUCAUCAGCCCUUUUACUCUGAGUCAGGUGCUUGCUGAGUUGCACAGGUGGGGCUUGAACUUGUGAUCCUCUUGUAUCAGUCACCCUCAGUGCUGAGACUACAGGCAUGUAUUAGUUUGUUCUCUCUCUCUUUGCUAGGUUUGGCUUAAUUGCUUUUUGGGGACUCUCUCACUAGCAUUCUCUGUGUCUCUUCUGGUAGCGCUAGGGAUUGAAUCCAGGGCAAGAGCUCUACCACUGAGCCACACCCCAGCCCAAAUUUUACCUUCUCAAACCACUCUUUGAAAAGUUGGAUCAGACAGCUACACAGAAAAGUUGGGGGCUUAGAAAGCCCUGAAAGUAACUGUUGGCUAAUUUAGGUUCAUAGUUUAGGCCUUGUAAAUUAAACUAACAAAAGCCAGAUGGUUAACAAGAGAAGAAGGAUGAGAGCCUUUUUACCGUAGCCACUGUGCAUAAAUACGAGAGCUUUCAGGGAUGAGCAACUGCAAGAGUGAUUGAAACUUGGGCUUGUGUAGUACUUCAGCAGACAGCAGUCAUUUUUAGAGAUAGGACAAGACCAGGAAAGGGCUUUGAGUUGCUAGGGUCAGCAAACUGUGGGAGGGAAUAUACAGUAUAUGGGAACUAAUAGGAGGAGACAGUUACUUUAACAAGAUUUGUUGUGUAGAUUUUCCUGAUACCAUUCCUGGGUUGAAAGGGGUGUACAGUUAUCUGUGGUGAUGAACUUCUGGUCCUUGGUGAUUGAGUGGGGAAAAUUACAGUUUACAAAUGUGUGCCCUGUUGUUAAUCACCUUCUGUUGCUAUGACAAAAUGCUUGAGAAAAUCGACUUACAGGAGAAAGGGUAUCUUGUGGGUCAUGGUUUCAAAGAAUUCAAUCCAAUGUUAGAUGGUUUUCUUGCUCUUGGGUCAGAGCAGAGGCUGAAUAUCUUGGCCUCAGCAGUGAGUUGGGGCAGCUGCUUGCUGGGAGCAGCCGGGAGUCAGAGAGCACGGUAGGGGGAGGGCAGGGAGGAAGGGCACACUUCUAGUUAGGCCCCAGCUUCUGGAAUUCCCGCCAUGCUGUCAGUUUAUAAACUCACCCAUGGAUUAAUCCACCUGUGAAGGUAGAGCCUUAUUAAUCCGGUCACCUUCCCAGAGGCCUUAUCUCGGAACAGUGGGACCAAGCCUUUCAGAUACGAGAUUUUGGGGGACAUUUUAUUUUAUUUUUGUCUCACUAUGCAGUUCAUGCUAGCCUUGAGCUCACUGUAGCCUGGGCUGCAUGGCUCUGGGGAACAUUGUAGAUCCAGACCUUAACCUGCUUUUUAUGGAAAUGAUGUCAAGGCGGAGAACUUUUCUGACUCCUACAGUGACGUAUUCUGCUACCCUUUUGUUUAUUGAGUUUGGGUUGUCCUGAGAGCAUCUCCUGCAGCAAGUUUCUGAGGCCUUUGUGUGCGGAGGAAGUGGGUUGCUCAUUGCAGGGAAUUUCAAGGCCAAGUUCACCCUGGAAAAGAGAGUGAGGCAGCGACCUGGGUCCUGCUUGAUGCCCAGAAAGGUCUCUUGAGCUUCUCAGGGGUCAGAGCUGUGGGGUAUGAGCUCCAUCUAGGUCUUUCUCCAUCUUCAUUGUGACGAAAGGGAAGAAGCAGUCAGCUUGGAUUUGCCAGAUUCAUAGGGCACUGUGAGUCUACUGGGAGAGGAGAAUGCAUGUUCAGAAGCACACUGUUUUUCUACCUUGGCUCUUGUUUGAUUUUAAAUUUUUUUUUUUUUGCGGUACCAGGGAUCAAACUCAUGCUUGCCAGGCAGGCGCUUAUGCCACUGAGCUAAAUCCCCAGCCCCGUUAAUUUUUUUUUUAAACCUUAUCCCUUCUUACCUUU
Cavia porcellus (domestic guinea pig) is the source of this 26723-nucleotide long non-coding RNA. RefSeq lists it as uncharacterized. The record is from RefSeq and is a predicted model, not a curated record. The transcript has 2 exons. NCBI's taxonomy places the organism in Eukaryota, Metazoa, Chordata, Mammalia, Rodentia, Caviidae.